UCUCCUCUCCGCUCUCAAACCCUAGUCCUGUCUUCCGCCGAUUUCUACAUCGCUUCUCUCCAACCUUGCUGGUUGAAUCGAAGGCGAAUGCCGUGGACAAAAUUGAGCAUAUAAUCCACAGUUUCAUCGCUCGGCCGGAUUGGCUUACAGGAGUAUUUGUCGCAGAGUUGGUUCUAUCUUCACAACGCACAUGAUUUUAUGCAGUUUUAGUAAUAGAGAUGGAAUAAAGAUAAGGUGUUUUCAAUUUUAGUGAUGGGUCAUCUUGAUUUGGACAAACUAAAAAGGAAAGUCGGUCAUGUUACUUUGAAGACCAGAGAAAGAUCCUCUGCUGUGUUAAGAAACACCACAGGGAGUGCUGUGGUUAAAACGCAGAGGUAGAAAAAUUUUGGAGAGAGAGAUUGUAUUUCUCUUCCUCUGGUUACCCUAUUUCUUUGAUUAAUUAAUUUCUGAUGGGGCCAGGUCAUGUUUACAUUGAUACUUAUAUUAUGCACGGCCUUUUAAUUUA
Salvia splendens (bonfire salvia) is the source of this 505-nucleotide long non-coding RNA. RefSeq lists it as uncharacterized. The record is from RefSeq and is a predicted model, not a curated record. The transcript has 2 exons. NCBI's taxonomy places the organism in Eukaryota, Viridiplantae, Streptophyta, Magnoliopsida, Lamiales, Lamiaceae.